RNAcentral lists this ribosomal RNA (481 nucleotides) under uncultured bacterium. RNAcentral describes it as "SSU rRNA". It matches the Rfam family "Bacterial small subunit ribosomal RNA", at positions 26 to 521 of the family's 1533-position model. The record is from RNAcentral.
AGGACGAACGCUGGCGGCGUGCUUAACACAUGCAAGUCGAGCGGUGAUCCUCCUUCGGGAGGUGAGCAGCGGCGAACGGGUGAGUAACACGUGGGCAACCUGCCCCUCACACUGGGAUAACCUCGGGAAACCGGGGCUAAUACCGGAUAUGACCUCGAGCGGCAUCUCUUGAGGUGGAAAGCUCCGACGGUGAGGGAUGGGCCCGCGGCCUAUCAGCUUGUUGGUGGGGUAAUGGCCUACCAAGGCGACGACGGGUAGCCGGCCUGAGAGGGCGACCGGCCACACUGGGACUGAGACACGGCCCAGACUCCUACGGGAGGCAGCAGUGGGGGAAUAUUGCGCAAUGGGCGAAAGCCUGACGCAGCGACGCCGCGUGAGGGAUGAAGGCCUUCGGGUUGUAAACCUCUUUCAGCAGGGACGAAGCGAAAGUGACGGUACCUGCAGAAGAAGCACCGGCUAACUACGCGCCAGCAGCCGCGGU